RNAcentral lists this ribosomal RNA (454 nucleotides) under uncultured Porphyromonadaceae bacterium. RNAcentral's name for it is "partial 16S ribosomal RNA". It matches the Rfam family "Bacterial small subunit ribosomal RNA", at positions 341 to 792 of the family's 1533-position model. RNAcentral also lists the same sequence under 1 other name. The record is from RNAcentral. Lineage: Bacteria; Pseudomonadati; Bacteroidota; Bacteroidia; Bacteroidales; Porphyromonadaceae.
ACGGGAGGCAGCAGUGAGGAAUAUUGGUCAAUGGACGGAAGUCUGAACCAGCCAAGUCGCGUGCGGGAGGAAGGCCCUACGGGUCGUAAACCGCUUUUGUACGGGGAUAAAGUCACCCACGUGUGGGUGUUUGUAGGUACCGUAAGAAUAAGGAUCGGCUAACUCCGUGCCAGCAGCCGCGGUAAUACGGAGGAUCCGAGCGUUAUCCGGAUUUAUUGGGUUUAAAGGGUGCGUAGGCGGGCUGUUAAGUCAGCGGUGAAACCCCCGGGCUCAACCCGGGGACUGCCAUUGAAACUGGCGGCCUUGAGUACGUUGGGAGUGCGCGGAAUGUGUGGUGUAGCGGUGAAAUGCAUAGAUAUCACACAGAACACCGAUCGCGUAGGCAGCGCACUACGCCGCAACUGACGCUGAGGCACGAAGGCGCGGGGAUCGAACAGGAUUAGAUACCCUGGUA